CCUACGGGGUGCAGCAGUGAGGAAUAUUGGUCAAUGGACGAGAGUCUGAACCAGCCAAGUAGCGUGAAGGAUGACUGCCCUAUGGGUUGUAAACUUCUUUUAUAUGGGAAUAAAAUGUUCCACGUGUGGGAUUUUGUAUGUACCAUAUGAAUAAGGAUCGGCUAACUCCGUGCCAGCAGCCGCGGUAAUACGGAGGAUCCGAGAGUUAUCCGGAUUUAUUGGGUUUAAAGGGAGCGUAGGUGGAUUGUUAAGUCAGUUGUGAAAGUUUGCGGCUCAACCGUAAAAUUGCAGUUGAAACUGGCAGUCUUGAGUACAGUAGAGGUGGGCGGAAUUCGUGGUGUAGCGGUGAAAUGCUUAGAUAUCACGAAGAACUCCGAUUGCGAAGGCAGUUCACUGGACUGCAACUGACACUGAGGCUCGAAAGUGUGGGUAUCAAACAGGAUUAGAUACCCCUGUAGUC
Molecule: ribosomal RNA, 460 nt
Filed under: uncultured bacterium
Lineage: Bacteria
Description: partial 16S ribosomal RNA
Rfam family: Bacterial small subunit ribosomal RNA
Source: RNAcentral